RNAcentral lists this ribosomal RNA (253 nucleotides) under uncultured bacterium. RNAcentral's name for it is "partial 16S ribosomal RNA". It matches the Rfam family "Bacterial small subunit ribosomal RNA", at positions 524 to 776 of the family's 1533-position model. The record is from RNAcentral.
AACGUAGGAGGCGAGCGUUAUCCGGAUUUACUGGGUGUAAAGCGCGUGUAGGCGGUCGGCUAAGUUGGGUGUGAAAGCGCCUGGCUCAACUGGGCGAGGUCGCUCAAGACUGGCCGACUGGAGAGCAGUAGGGGAAGGUGGAAUUCCGGGUGUAGUGGUGAAAUGCGUAGAUAUCCGGAGGAACACCAGUGGCGAAAGCGGCCUUCUGGACUGCAUCUGACGCUCAGACGCGAAAGCUAGGGGAGCAAACGGG